RNAcentral lists this RNase P RNA (290 nucleotides) under Lottia gigantea (owl limpet). RNAcentral's name for it is "nuclear RNase P". It matches the Rfam family "Nuclear RNase P". From Rfam's summary of the family: Ribonuclease P (RNase P) is a ubiquitous endoribonuclease, found in archaea, bacteria and eukarya as well as chloroplasts and mitochondria. The record is from Rfam by way of RNAcentral. Lineage: Eukaryota; Metazoa; Mollusca; Gastropoda; Lottiidae.
AGUGACAGUAAUGCUCACAAUAAGGGCGACACACAGGUACUUGUUACUUGAUCUAGCCCCUGGGAAGGUCUGAGACGAAGGUCGAACAAUCCUCUAGCAGGGGACUUCAGAAAACUGGGGGUGAUGCACCAGAAACAUGGCUGAGUAGAAUUCGAUUCAGGCAAGUGAAACUGAUAGUUGAUGCUCUGGGUUCUACAUGGUUGGAAAUCAUCAUGGCUGGCAACAAUAAGUUCAAUUUGUGAGGUGAUACGGGUAUAUCAUAACUCAAUUCAGACUACUCUACUGACACU